RNAcentral lists this ribosomal RNA (253 nucleotides) under uncultured bacterium. Its description in RNAcentral is "partial 16S ribosomal RNA". It matches the Rfam family "Bacterial small subunit ribosomal RNA", at positions 524 to 776 of the family's 1533-position model. The record is from RNAcentral.
UACGAGUGGUGCAAGCGUUAUUCGGAUUUAUUGGGCGUAAAGGGCGCGUAGGCGGGAAUGUAAGUCAGAAGUGAAAUCCCGGGGCUCAACCCCGGAACAGCAUUUGAAACUGCAUACCUAGAGGGUAGUCGGAGAAAACAGAAUUCCACAAGUAGCGGUGAAAUGCGUAGAUAUGUGGAAGAAUACCGGUGGCGAAGGCGGUUUUCUAGAUUAUACCUGACGCUGAGGCGCGAAAGCAAGGGGAUCAAACAGG